UAUAUAAUCUACCAAAGCCCAUCUCAAUCGCUCCGAACCUUGAAGCUCCCUCCCACCCACAAAAUCAUCAAGAUGAUGAAGAUGGAUGGUCUGUGAUGAGGGAACAAAGAUACCAUCAAACGCUGAUGCCACGAAACAAAAGCAGUGUUGAUAUCCUCUAUUUUGUCUCUCUGAGACUCCUAUCUUUUUCUCUUCUUUUUUUUUGCGUUUUUAGGAAUAGGUUUUUUUUUUUUUUUUUGCCCUAUUUAAUCCUUUUUUUUUAGUUUAUUUUUAAAAGGAAGAUUACAACAGAGAUGAUGAUGAUGAUGAUGAUGAUGAUAAUAAUAAUAGUAUAAUAAAAGGCAAUAAAUUAGAGUCUCUGAUGCGCUUCUUUUGCUGUAGCGUCUUCAGCGCUGUACGUUGCCGAGAACGAAAUCGAGCUGAGAUUCUGGCACUCGCCGUUCGUAUGCGGUGCGGCGUGUUGCAUUCAGAUGCUCGGACACUUUAUUUGAAAAUAUUACCAACUAACGCUUUGAUUUUUUUUUUCUUUUUUUUGUUUGUUUAUAAUCUCUUGUUUUUUAUUUUCAAGAACAAAAGUUUUAAUGAUCGAUUUCUGUUGCUUCUUGCUAAUCAUGAUUUUGUUUUAGUUCUGCAUCAUUUUCGGUAUGUUUAUUUUUGUGCGAACAUUAAUAAGAGGUUUGAAUUUUCUUA
Long non-coding RNA from Ananas comosus (pineapple), 690 nucleotides. RefSeq lists it as uncharacterized. The record is from RefSeq and is a predicted model, not a curated record. The transcript has 2 exons. Lineage: Eukaryota; Viridiplantae; Streptophyta; Magnoliopsida; Poales; Bromeliaceae.